CCUACGGGAGGCAGCAGUGAGGAAUAUUGGUCAAUGGACGCAAGUCUGAACCAGCCAUGCCGCGUGCAGGAUGACGGCUCUAUGAGUUGUAAACUGCUUUUGUACGGGGGUAAACUGCGAUACGUGUGUCGUUUUGAAGGUAUCGUACGAAUAAGGAUCGGCUAAUUCCGUGCCAGCAGCCGCGGUAAUACGGAGGAUCCGAGCGUUAUCCGGAUUUAUUGGGUUUAAAGGGAGCGUAGGCGGCCUGUUAAGUGUGCGGUGAAAUCCCGCGGCUCAACCUUGGAAUUGCCGCUGAAACUGGCAGGCUUGAGUACAGUAGAGGUGGGCGGAAUUCGUGGUGUAGCGGUGAAAUGCUUAGAUAUCACGAAGAACUCCGAUUGCGAAGGCAGCUUACGGGACUGCUACUGACGCUGAGGCUCGAAAGCGUGGGUAUCAAACAGGAUUAGAUACCCCAGUAGUC
RNAcentral lists this ribosomal RNA (460 nucleotides) under uncultured bacterium. RNAcentral's name for it is "partial 16S ribosomal RNA". It matches the Rfam family "Bacterial small subunit ribosomal RNA", at positions 338 to 795 of the family's 1533-position model. The record is from RNAcentral.